CCUACGGGAGGCAGCAGUGGGGAAUAUUGGACAAUGGGCGAAAGCCUGAUCCAGCAAUGCCGCGUGAGUGAUGAAGGCCUUAGGGUUGUAAAGCUCUUUUACCCGAGAUGAUAAUGACAGUAUCGGGAGAAUAAGCUCCGGCUAACUCCGUGCCAGCAGCCGCGGGUAAUACGGAGGGAGCUAGCGUUGUUCGGAAUUACUGGGCGUAAAGCGCACGUAGGCGGCUUUUAAGUCAAGGGGUGAAAUCCCGGGGCUCAACCCCGGAACUGCCCUUGAAACUGGGAAGCUAGAAUCUUGGAGAGGCGAGUGGAAUUCCGAGUGUAGAGGUGAAAAUUCGUAGAUAUUCGGAAGAACACCAGUGGCGAAAGGCGACUCGCUGGACAAGUAUUGACGCUGAAGGUGCGAAAAGCGUGGGGAGCAAAACAGGAUUAGAUAACCCUGGUAGUCCACGCCGUAAACGAUGAUAAACUAGCUGUCCGGGUUCAUGGAACUUGGGUGGCGCAGCUAACGCAUUAAGUUAUCCGCCUGGGGAGUACGGUCGCAAGAUUAAAAACACAAAAGAAUAGACGANGAGAGNGCGAGACGACGACGAGGAGAG
RNAcentral lists this ribosomal RNA (598 nucleotides) under uncultured bacterium. RNAcentral's name for it is "bacterial SSU rRNA". It matches the Rfam family "Bacterial small subunit ribosomal RNA", at positions 338 to 945 of the family's 1533-position model. The record is from RNAcentral.